GACGAACGCUGGCGGCGUGCUUAACACAUGCAAGUCGAACGGAAAGGCCCUGCUUUUGUGGGGUGCUCGAGUGGCGAACGGGUGAGUAACACGUGAGUAACCUGCCCUUGACUUUGGGAUGACUUCAGGAAACUGGGGCUAAUACCGGAUAGGAGCUCCUGCUGCAUGGUGGGGGUUGGAAAGUUUCGGCGGUUGGGGAUGGACUCGCGGCUUAUCAGCUUGUUGGUGGGGUAGUGGCUUACCAAGGCUUUGACGGGUAGCCGGCCUGAGAGGGUGACCGGCCACAGUGGGACUGAGAUACGGCCCAGACUCCUACGGGAGGCAGCAGUGGGGAAUAUUGCACAAUGGGCGGAAGCCUGAUGCAGCAACGCCGCGUGCGGGAUGACGGCCUUCGGGUUGUAAACCGCUUUCGCCUGUGACGAAGCGUGAGUGACGGUAAUGGGUAAAGAAGCACCGGCUAACUACGUG
RNAcentral lists this ribosomal RNA (468 nucleotides) under uncultured bacterium. RNAcentral describes it as "partial 16S ribosomal RNA". It matches the Rfam family "Bacterial small subunit ribosomal RNA", at positions 28 to 507 of the family's 1533-position model. The record is from RNAcentral.